UACGGAAGGCAGCAGUAGGGAAUCUUCCGCAAUGGACGAAAGUCUGACGGAGCAACGCCGCGUGAACGAUGAAGGCUUUCGGGUCGUAAAGUUCUGUUGUUAGGGAAGAACAAGUACCGGAGUAACUGCCGGUACCUUGACGGUACCUAACCAGAAAGCCACGGCUAACUACGUGCCAGCAGCCGCGGUAAUACGUAGGUGGCAAGCGUUGUCCGGAAUUAUUGGGCGUAAAGCGCGCGCAGGCGGUCCUUUUAAAGUCUGAUGUGAAAGCCCACGGCUCAACCGUGGAGGGUCAUUGGAAACUGGGGGACUUGAGUGCAGAAGAGGAGAGUGGAAUUCCACGUGUAGCGGUGAAAUGCGUAGAGAUGUGGAGGAACACCAGUGGCGAAGGCGACUCUCUGGUCUGUAACUGACGCUGAGGCGCGAAAGCGUGGGGAGCGAACAGGGAUUAGAUACC
This 457-nucleotide ribosomal RNA is filed under the name uncultured bacterium. RNAcentral's name for it is "bacterial SSU rRNA". It matches the Rfam family "Bacterial small subunit ribosomal RNA", at positions 340 to 786 of the family's 1533-position model. The record is from RNAcentral.